RNAcentral lists this non-coding RNA (45 nucleotides) under Schistosoma haematobium. Lineage: Eukaryota; Metazoa; Platyhelminthes; Trematoda; Strigeidida; Schistosomatidae. The record is from RNAcentral.
AUCCAAAUGACGAAUCCCAAGUAGGACGAAACGCGUGUCCUGCAU